GAGUGGUGGCGGCAUAUUAGCGGCAUGACAUGCACAUGGACAUGCGUGCCGGCCUUUGUUCAGGCUUGUGUAAAAGUGUCAAGUCGUAUAAGUUUUGUUGAACUGUUCCGUGAGAUAGAGAGGAAAGACGUUGCAGUCUCUAUGGAGUCUGCAUAGAAUUUUAUGCAUGUUCCUGUGCACUUGUGCACACGCUGACAUGAUGCCCCAGACACAAAGAGGUGGUGAAGCGAGUUGCGCCGUUGAAAAGUUGGCCGCCUCUCAGCUGGGAAAAUUCGUCGUAUUUUUUGUAACUUUGUCUGGUAAGGUAUCUUGAGGAUGAAGACGAUGCGUUCACUGACCAAGCCAAGAUACAAAGAAUGCCUGGCCGCGCCGUAAGAUCAUCUUCCUUACCGGUCCCGCCCUACGAUGUGCUGUCCUCUGCAUUCGAGUGAGUGGCAGCAGCUUCUAUUUUUUUUCUUUGUGUAAAUUUUUAGGCAUUUGCAGAAAAUUUUCAUAAAGUUGCCGAAUGAGGAAGCAGCUUAGUGGACUGCCUGCGACCAAGAACUUCCUAAGCUACCAAGACGCGCCUUGCAGCACAUAGAGGGACCGCGGCGACGCACCGUAUCAGUGCUGUUAAUGACCAAUCUGUUGUUCAACCGAAUCGGCGUAUUGUCGGCAUCAAAUGAUA
RNA transcript from Rhipicephalus microplus (southern cattle tick), 667 nucleotides. RefSeq lists it as uncharacterized. NCBI's taxonomy places the organism in Eukaryota, Metazoa, Arthropoda, Arachnida, Ixodida, Ixodidae. The record is from RefSeq and is a predicted model, not a curated record.